CUGUUCUGAAAUGUCCUAGACAAGUGCCCGUUGAUAAGGCAAGGCAGUCACCGUCUCUCAGGGGUGGGGGGUAAUUUAACAUUGGAAAUCGAAAAUCAUUUCUUUCAGGGGAAUACAAUUCAGUCUUAAAUUUUCUCUUCAGUGGCCUUACGUUUACUGCCGAAUCUUAGAAUGUAUUAUAACAAUUUGGUAUUAAGAAAAAUAUGCAUUAAGUCAUCUUGUCAAACACUACAUAUGGUCAUUUAAGGUAAGAGUACCAAUUUUUAAAAAUUUUAUCUUAGCAAGUUGUUUCUAAUCAAAAACUGUGUUUUACCUGAGAAUGUCCUGUGUUCAUUAAAUAAUAAGCUGAUUGGCUAAUAAUUAAAACAGACAUACAGAGGCCAUCAUCUAUGGAAGGAGGGCCUGUCACUUACACACGUGUGUCCAGUGUGUUCAGUGUCCUUGGAUGCUGAUUUAACUGGCUUCUUUUACACAGCUUCCAGGUCCUCCUGCCUUACGCAGGAGUCCGAGCAUAAACCAACAGGUAAUCGCAGUCACCUUUUCCUUCUGCAGGACCCUGGUCAUGCCACAGCCUGCUGGACAACUGCCUUUAAGCUUGCAUUAACUGUUGUACAGUUGCUAUCUCCUGCCUCGUGUUCUGGAUCUUUGCCAACUGUUACGUUUUCUCACGGCUCCCUGGACAGCCCUACUUCUGAGGCACUCUGGCUGCUGCUCUCCUGUCACCCUUCUGUCAGCCUUGAAGCAGUUACUGGGAGAUUGACACUCCCAAUCCUUAAAAACAGUUUGAGUAGCCUCUGAAAGGGGACUAAUGGGCCACGGGCCGUCCAACUCAUUCCUCUCUGGCCAUUGCUUUGGGACUCAGAACUAAAGCAGCUGGCCUGAAGCCUUCUUUGGAUCAGGUCACUUCUCUGUCUCACCAGCUCAGCUCAGCCUAACACCUGUCAGGACCAGCUCCACUCCGUGACUGCUGUCGUGCUCCAAGGUUACAAAGAACUAACUCUGACUACUGACAAGGAUGGGGUCUGUGCCCUCAGACGAUGCUGCUCCUUGCUAAGAAAUCUUAACUGGCUUGAAAUGAGGCCACCUAGAGACAGGAGCUAGACAAAAAUUCAACCACAAACCUCCUCCUGUGCAGCGACUUCUGGUUCCCUCCCACACUGGCUCCUCCCACUCUGGCUCCUCCCACUCUGGCCGCUCCCACUCUGGCUCCUCCCACUCUGGCUCCUCCCACUCUGGCUCCUCCCACUCUGGCUCCUCCCACUCUGGCUCCUCCCACUCUGGCUCCUCCAGUGGGUCACUCCCUUCCUCAUAUUUAGGUUUUUCUCUGUCUUUUAAAUGUCUUACUUACUGACCUUCACCCUAUACCCAAACAAUACUUCUGCACAAGUUCUCCCAAUAGCCCUCCCCUACAACAUCUCCAUUCGUUCUUAAUACAUCCAAAAACAAACGACCCUUUAGAGGCUGUGGAGAAACUGGCUAGAGUGGACCUGUAGAACUAGAGUUUUAAAAAGGUUACUCAUUGUCAGAGUCCGGAUGUGCAGGGCCGGACGUGCCUGAGGGAGAGCCAGAGAUAGGACUUGCCAAACCAGCUAUCAGCCCCAAGGACACUGACCAUCCGUAGCCACCCCCUCCCCUUCCUUCACUCCCCAGAAGUGAGUCACCCCCGAGUGAGAUGAGCCACCCUACCUGCCUGCCGAGCUGCUAGAGAGCACGUACUCCUUGCUGAUGUAAUUUCACGCCGAAAGUAACUGUGCACCAUUUGAAUUGACCAAUCAUGUGUAACUUCACGAAUGCCCCUAACCUCCCCUAUAUAAACCCCCGAGUUUGGAGGCUCGGGGUCGAUUCCUCUGUCUCCUGUGUGAGAUACGUAUCGACCCGGGAUCCCGCUAAUAGGGAUCUCGUUAAUAAAAGCUACCUCCUGCUGU
This is a long non-coding RNA of Rattus norvegicus (Norway rat), 1925 nucleotides long. RefSeq lists it as uncharacterized. The record is from RefSeq and is a predicted model, not a curated record. Lineage: Eukaryota; Metazoa; Chordata; Mammalia; Rodentia; Muridae.